This 72-nucleotide transfer RNA is filed under the name Camelus bactrianus (Bactrian camel). It matches the Rfam family "tRNA". From Rfam's summary of the family: Transfer RNA (tRNA) molecules are approximately 80 nucleotides in length. Their secondary structure includes four short double-helical elements and three loops (D, anti-codon, and T loops). Further hydrogen bonds mediate the characteristic L-shaped molecular structure. tRNAs have two regions of fundamental functional importance: the anti-codon, which is responsible for specific mRNA codon recognition, and the 3' end, to which the tRNAs corresponding amino acid is attached (by aminoacyl-tRNA synthetases). tRNAs cope with the degeneracy of the genetic code in two manners: having more than one tRNA (with a specific anti-codon) for a particular amino acid; and 'wobble' base-pairing, i.e. permitting non-standard base-pairing at the 3rd anti-codon position. The record is from Rfam by way of RNAcentral. RNAcentral also lists the same sequence under 2 other names. Lineage: Eukaryota; Metazoa; Chordata; Mammalia; Artiodactyla; Camelidae.
AAGGGUAUAGCUCAGUGGUAAAGUGCGUGCUUAGCAUGCACGAGGUCGUGGGUUCAAUCCCUGGUACCGCUG